AACCUAGCACACCUGCGGUGUGUACCUGCGGAAGAUCAUUAAAAGAGUUUUGGUUUUGGAAACAAAACCGACCCUUCAACCCACCUGUACUACCCUUCUCUCGUUGCCUCGGGGGGAGAGUCUCGUCGUUAGGCGAGAGACCCCCGGUGGACAUUACAAACCCGUUUUUACUUUGAAGUCGGAGUAAUUUGAUUCAAAUCGAAACAAAACUUUUAACAACGGAUCUCAGAUCGGAAGAGC
Molecule: unclassified non-coding RNA, 240 nt
Filed under: soil metagenome
Description: partial contains 5.8S ribosomal RNA, internal transcribed spacer 2, and large subunit ribosomal RNA
Source: RNAcentral